Molecule: long non-coding RNA, 853 nt
Filed under: Homo sapiens (human)
Lineage: Eukaryota; Metazoa; Chordata; Mammalia; Primates; Hominidae
Description: HSALNT0073321
Source: RNAcentral
GGGAAAUAUUCUUAGGAUCUCCUGAGUGUUAUGUCACAGGCCAUCAUUGACUCAUAUUUGGCUCAGAAUAAAACUCUUUAAAUAUUUUAAAAUGUUUGACUCUUUUCAUCAAUAACAACUUGACAUUUGAAUAUGUGGGGCCUCAGAGAAAACUCAGGACACCAUAAAACAUGCCUGAACUUGAAGCUAAGGUAGCAACAGAGGUCCACUGAAAGCCUCUCCAAUUUUGAGCUUCUUCUUCGGUGGGACUGUAUCACUUUUCCUGAACUUCGUGAAUGUCUUUUUCAUUGUGAUGAUAUGCCACACAUUACCUCUAAAGAAAGAAUACAUUUUGCAAAAUGAGAGGUUGACUCUUGCUCCUGCUUUUACCACAUGACGUGCCUGCCCCAUCCCUCCACUCUUCAUUUUCUGCCAUGAUGGUAGGAGGUCCCGAGACCACCCUAGAAGCCAAGCAGAUGCCAGCACCAGGCUUCCUAUAAAGACUGCAGAACCAUGAGCCAAUUAAAUUCCAUUUCUUUAUAAAUUACCCUAUCCCAGGCAUUUAUUUCUAGCAAUGCAGGAAUGGCAUAAUGCACUUAAUUUAUUUGUAGUUUAAGUGAUAUAGGCCUUAUAUCAUGCACUGCCCUAGGGAGAAGAAAUGGGCAGUUCUUAGGACUCAGACUGGCUCUGUGGGAUUGGGUAAGACAUAUAAUUCUGAUCUUUAUCAGUAAGGAGAGAGGUAUGAAGAGCACAUCUAUAGGAAAGGUUUUGAAGACUUCCAGAAUCUCUGUCAGCCUGAUUGAGGAGGCAUUUUCCUUCCAAAUCAGGUCCAUAAAUAGUAGAAGAGGUGACUUCUUCCUCAAAUACACAGACA